GUCCCCUUCGUCUAGCGGUCCAGGACGUCAGCCUCUCACGCUGAAAACAGGGGUUCGAUUCCCCUAGGGGACG
Molecule: transfer RNA, 73 nt
Filed under: Tistlia consotensis USBA 355
Lineage: Bacteria; Pseudomonadati; Pseudomonadota; Alphaproteobacteria; Rhodospirillales; Rhodovibrionaceae
Also listed under: 1 other name
Description: alpha proteobacterium USBA 355 tRNA
Rfam family: tRNA
About the family: Transfer RNA (tRNA) molecules are approximately 80 nucleotides in length. Their secondary structure includes four short double-helical elements and three loops (D, anti-codon, and T loops).
Source: Rfam by way of RNAcentral